GUCUUCCGCUCUCCGUUGCCUCGCUCUGCCCUCGUUGGCUCCCCUUUCUCUCGGUUCCGGCCUUCCUCGGGAACCGCUUCUUGUUUCCCUCUCGGCGUCUGUUAGCUUCGGGAGUCGUACGUAGAGCUCUCAAGAAGGGAUGGAGGCUUGGUCAUGUGUCCUGGUUAAUGCACGAAGAAGAGGAGGAGACAAGUCGUCCAGCGAGAAGGGAUUCGAGGUGACGGAGAUCAAGCAUGGUGGGACAAUCGAUCGAUACUAAGUUGGAAGAAAAGGGUUGGAUUUCAAGGGUUAGAAAGGUUGGUAAUAUCCGUAGUCUAUUUAUGUGCCCAUGAUUUCCCUCCCUCUUUCUGUUUUUUCUUGUCUUGGUUGUUUUUUGGUUGAUUGGUUGUGAUGGCCGCUAUAGGGAUUAUAUAAUUCGGUAUAGUAAAUGUACAAACCCCAGGAAGUUUCUUUUUCAUUUUUAGUAUUUUUUUAAAGUGUUUUUCUAAAACUUAGUACAUACUGGUGUACGCUCGAUACACUGAUAUGGACCGUUAUAAUACUGAUCCGAACCCUGACCGGUACUGUACAGGCUACGGAUACAUGAAAUUGAGAACCUUUUAUCCAACCAGCACAUCACAGGGAAUUGGCGGAAUGGGAAUUGUAUGAAAAUUGAUACUUGAAUUCUAGUUGUAAAAUAACUUGUGAUUAUGGAUCUGCAAGAGUUUUGAAUGUCAAGACAUUGCAUGUACCUACAGGAAGUUACUCAAGUUGUACUACAAUUGUUUAUGUGAAUGGCAUCCGUAUAUGACAGAUUAAGCUCGCCUUCAUCUAAAUCAGUGGUUGCAGCAAUUCGCUCUAGGUGAUGUUGUUGUAUUGCUAAUGUGAUGGUCAUAAUGCAGAUCAUGAGCAAGUUGAUUUGAAGUUGUGUAGGGCUAUUAAGUAUGGAGUUGCCAACCAAACAACAAGCUUUUAGAUUGCAUUUGAUUUCACAAACCUCAGAAAAUACCUCAUGCACAUCAGAGCGGAUGAUGUAACAUUGACAUUAGAAUAGUGAUUUCUUUGAUCUUAGAGAGUGGAGGUUCUGAACGAUCCCUACAACAUUGACUUGCUUUCAGUCAUGUCUCUAAUCUGUUUUUUCGUCGGAUUUUUUUGCAAGGCUAUCGAAAAUUUAUUUCAAGCAGGCAAUACAGAUAUGAUGGAGAAAAAUUGCUUGAUUUUUUUUUUGUGAGAUUCUUUUUCUAUAUAUAAACUGGAGAUUGUCAGCAACAAUGUUCGUAAAUAUUCGUAGGAUGAUAACUCAUAAUUCAUCAGUCAUCAUUUGUAACAUGGUUGGAUAAGGUUUAAUGAUCUUUCAUUUUAAGAUCAUAUUCCUCAUUAAUUCAGUGCAAAUGUUUUUGCCAGUGUACCCCUUUCAAUGGAUGUUGCAUAGGUUUUGUGUCCUUCAUAUUAUUUCCAUGCUCAAAUAGAUGGAAGGGUUAUUUGCGUUCUGUUUUAGUAUUUAACAAGUUCUCGGCUCAGAUUGUCAACAUGUGCUCUCUUUCUUUCUUUUUUUACUUUGGGAAGAAAAACAUUGAAUUCAUCUGAUAAUAUGGUUUGAAGAAAGAGCAUUUUAAUAUGCAAAUCUUUGUUCUUUAAUCUUUCACUGAUUCUUGAGUAUCAAAUAUGCAUGCUAAUUUUCUUCUUAUAUCAAUGGAGACAAUGACAUCUAGCUUUUUGCUAAAUCUCUUACUUCCAGAAAAGAUUUGUUAAGGGUUGAUUUCAUCAUAUAUUCUAACCACUUCCCUCAUAGUUCUGUAGCCAAGGAAUGUUAGUGUCUUAUCCUUUUUCUCAGUUCAAACAGGCAUUUAGCUGUUCUUAAAUGAGAAUUAUGCAUAUUUUUUUACUUAUAAUGGUCAGGAAAUUCCAAUGUCUGCUGCUUAGAAUGUCCGCCAUAGAUUACGCAACAGUAAGUUCCCUUGUCACUCUGGAAAUUACAUGAGGCAGUUCUCUGAAAGUUUUUUGUUUUCUCCAACUGUGCAUACAUGGAUAUCAAUUUCUGAAACUUGAGCCUGUAGUCCAUUUGGCAGUUUUGGUUUCAGUGUUACCACUUCUUGGGAGUGAUGAUCUUGUAUAUUGGCUUAAUUAUCACCAUGAUAAACAAACAUUUGGAUUUGAGUUGCAUGCGCUUAUCUGCUUCACUCAUUUCAUUUUGAGUUCUUAUGGUUUGGACUUGUAUAUUGGCUUAAGUAUCGCUGUUUUAAACAAACAUUUGGAUUUGAGUUGCAUGUGCUUAUCUGCUUCACUCAUUUCAUUUUGAGUUCUUAUGGUUUGGACUUGUUUAUUGACUUAAUUAUCACUGUUAUAAACAAACAUUUGGAUUUGAGUUGCAUGCGCUUAUCUGCUUCACUCAUUUGAUUUUGAGUUCUUAUGGUUUGGACCUUCCAUUAUGAUGGUCUUGAAAUGGAUUGGUUACCUACUUCACAUGUAGAGAAUUUGUGUGUCAAUCCAACAGAUGUGCUUUGCUAUCCCAUCAAUGCUGUAAAAACCUGUAAGUUAUCUCAUCUUCUUAUGUUCUCGAUCCAGUCAAUAAAACACAAGGAACUCUUGGUGAAGACUUGAUCAUGGAUGAUACUGCAAGCAAAGGUAACACAUGAUAUCAGCUUGUCCCGAAAACAGUAUGUAGAUCAUGAAUUCAUGAUGUCUCUCAGCAACAAUAGAAUAAAUCAGCAAGAUGAUCAAUCAUGCAGUCUUUUUCUGCAGCAGCCCUAUAAAGAUUAGGAAAUCUGUCACUCACAAGAGCUCUUCGCAUAUCCAUUUAUCAAUUCAAAAACCAUGUCAAGAGAUCGAUUUCUCUAGUGUUGAACUGAUUCUUCACUGUGCCACAGCAUUAGGCAUAGCCUUCACAGGUGCUUGAUUUCUGGCAACAGCACCAAUAGACAAAAAUUUCCACAUUCUUUUUUCCUAUUGAGAAAACAUUUGGAAGUGAUUUAAUCUGUCAUUAUUCUUCCUGGACAUUCUUUGCCUAUUGUGACACCUCAAUCCACCUUAAUUUUCCUUACUAAAUGGUCUAAUUUUUUAAACAUGAUAUAUGGGUUUCUUUUUUUUUUUUCUUUGCAUGGAAGAAAUCAUAUAAGGAUUGUGAUUACACCUGCCUGUGAUAUGCACUUGUACUUCAUUAUGUGCUCUCCCACAAUAGGAAUACAGUCAGAUCUCUUUUUGUGUUUGAGGAAGAAAGUGUAAAGAAGCCUUUUCACUUAGACUUUAUUUAUGAACUUGUGAAAUCAAGUAUGAACUGGAAGUAUCAUACCAUGCAUCCAAACAUAGAGUGAAAGAAAAAAGAACAAAAACAUUAAAAAGAAGUAAUCUUUGUGUUGAACUGUGUAUUAUUCCAGUUGACCUUGAACAUGUUCCCAGACAUUGCUUCACUUUUAUGUCCAAGCUCUUACCAAAAAGACUAGCCUAAAGAGUAUGAUUUGUAUUCCUUUUCCCCUUUAAAUUAUAAUAUCAAGGUGAGGAUGCAUGGAUCUUGAUGCUACAUUAUGCUGACUCUAAUAAGAACUUUAAUAGGAUUGGUUCAUGUUGCAAUAGCAGUCUACACAUAUCUAAUCCAACCUUUCCCCGGAUCCUUGGCUGCCUUUUCUUCAGGUGUUGAAGUGGUAUUUUCCCAUUGAAACUGAUGUUUGAUAUGAUAAAAGAACAGGUGUUUACCAUUAAAUAGUUGUUUGGUGAUCCAUCCUUGUCAUGAAUACUUUUUUAAUGCUGUCAUGGCUGGAGAAUAUUUUAUAGUUAUUAGUUAGGAAGCAUAGAACAUAUAUCACAUACAUGGGACAUGGCAAUCAUGAGAGUGGAAGAUAUAUGUCUGCUUAUGAUCAUAAAUACUGGCAGCAUAUUGGUAGGUCCAAAGUUAAGACUUAUCCCUAAGUUGACUUCCUUUUUGCUUCACUGCACAUCAAAGAGCUCUUUUCUUUCAGAAAAUGAAAACAUUUCUCUUCCAAUCAAUCUUCCUGUUCCAUCUUUUGUUCAUAUGCCAAUGGGUGAGCAGUUGAAUUAAUGUGAGAGAGCAGUGUCCUCAGAAAUAAAAAAAAAAUGCUCAGAAUUAAUGAGAAACAUCCUGUACAGAAAAAUAGUAUGCAACUUAGAGAAUAGUAGACAGAUGUAGAUUAUCUCAGUUAUGACAUUUCAGAUGGUUGACAACAAUUUAUGUUAAUGUAUGCUAUUAGCUAGUUUCAAGGGUGUAACUCUCUUUAUUUUGACAGGAAAAAUCGGCGAAAAUGUUGGUCGAUUGGAUUAGAGAUUAUUUUUCUGAGGUUGGCAUACAAAAAAAGAGGAGCUCAAGAAUUUGUCUGGUGAAGCACAUUCAACGUUUGUAUUGUUUGUCUUUGAUCAUUUGGUGAGAGAACUCGAGGAAAGCAAUGGAAAAUUUUGCUUACUGGUAAACUUUCAUACAAUUUGACUCAUUAGACAUUAUAAAUUUAUAAUGUGAUAUGGUUCCAGGCAAUUAGGUAGUUCAUCACAAUCUCAAAGCUUCUCAAACUAGAACAAGAACUAUGGCAUAUGAUUGCAAGAACAUCCUGUCAUUCACCUGUUCUGUUCAUGAAUGUCUUGUUGGAUGCCCAACAUAAAAGCCUAACACAAAAGCCAGCCAAAAGAAUAAAUCUUGGAAGCUUUUUUUUGAUACUACACCAAAUUGAACACCCAGUGGCUGGCAAAGAGGCCCUACAUGUUGAUGUCUGAUGUGAUACAUGUUGCACUGGAGACAUGAAUGCCAUACCCUUUCCUGCAGUAUCUAUGAUUGAACAUAAUUGAAUGGUGAGUCCAAACUGAUUCCUGCAUUGAUCUUCCUAUACACUAACAAAAUUUUCGAGAAUCAUUUGAUUCCAGCAAUUGUUUUGAGUUUGAAUUAGAAUUUGGCUGCAAGCAAUGGCUCAAAUAAUUCAUGAUUGUCUAUAUUUUUGGGCUUCCUUUCAUCUUACAAGUUUAAUAUACAAAAUACUUUAA
Long non-coding RNA from Musa acuminata AAA Group (dessert banana), 4959 nucleotides. RefSeq lists it as uncharacterized. The record is from RefSeq and is a predicted model, not a curated record. Lineage: Eukaryota; Viridiplantae; Streptophyta; Magnoliopsida; Zingiberales; Musaceae. The transcript has 3 exons.